RNAcentral lists this ribosomal RNA (1043 nucleotides) under Escherichia coli. RNAcentral describes it as "partial 23S ribosomal RNA". It matches the Rfam family "Bacterial large subunit ribosomal RNA", at positions 711 to 1754 of the family's 2925-position model. Lineage: Bacteria; Pseudomonadati; Pseudomonadota; Gammaproteobacteria; Enterobacterales; Enterobacteriaceae. The record is from RNAcentral.
AGACCCGAAACCCGGUGAUCUAGCCAUGGGCAGGUUGAAGGUUGGGUAACACUAACUGGAGGACCGAACCGACUAAUGUUGAAAAAUUAGCGGAUGACUUGUGGCUGGGGGUGAAAGGCCAAUCAAACCGGGAGAUAGCUGGUUCUCCCCGAAAGCUAUUUAGGUAGCGCCUCGUGAAUUCAUCUCCGGGGGUAGAGCACUGUUUCGGCAAGGGGGUCAUCCCGACUUACCAACCCGAUGCAAACUGCGAAUACCGGAGAAUGUUAUCACGGGAGACACACGGCGGGUGCUAACGUCCGUCGUGAAGAGGGAAACAACCCAGACCGCCAGCUAAGGUCCCAAAGUCAUGGUUAAGUGGGAAACGAUGUGGGAAGGCCCAGACAGCCAGGAUGUUGGCUUAGAAGCAGCCAUCAUUUAAAGAAAGCGUAAUAGCUCACUGGUCGAGUCGGCCUGCGCGGAAGAUGUAACGGGGCUAAACCAUGCACCGAAGCUGCGGCAGCGACACUGUGUGUUGUUGGGUAGGGGAGCGUUCUGUAAGCCUGUGAAGGUGUGCUGUGAGGCAUGCUGGAGGUAUCAGAAGUGCGAAUGCUGACAUAAGUAACGAUAAAGCGGGUGAAAAGCCCGCUCGCCGGAAGACCAAGGGUUCCUGUCCAACGUUAAUCGGGGCAGGGUGAGUCGACCCCUAAGGCGAGGCCGAAAGGCGUAGUCGAUGGGAAACAGGUUAAUAUUCCUGUACUUGGUGUUACUGCGAAGGGGGGACGGAGAAGGCUAUGUUGGCCGGGCGACGGUUGUCCCGGUUUAAGCGUGUAGGCUGGUUUUCCAGGCAAAUCCGGAAAAUCAAGGCUGAGGCGUGAUGACGAGGCACUACGGUGCUGAAGCAACAAAUGCCCUGCUUCCAGGAAAAGCCUCUAAGCAUCAGGUAACAUCAAAUCGUACCCCAAACCGACACAGGUGGUCAGGUAGAGAAUACCAAGGCGCUUGAGAGAACUCGGGUGAAGGAACUAGGCAAAAUGGUGCCGUAACUUCGGGAGAAGGCACGCUGA